UUAAUUUUUAUUUUCCCCAUGGUUUCUAUGAUCUUUACAAAAUUAUGAUACAUUUUAAGAUUCCCAUCAAACUAGUUUAUUUACCACACUGGAAGAUAGUAGGGAAUCAACACAGUAACUGCGUAUUUUAUGCUCAAAUAGUCAUACUAUUGUAGAUUUAAUGGACUUACCCAAGAACCCCUAACUAAUAUAUAAAGUGUGAG
This is a non-coding RNA of Pelobates cultripes (western spadefoot toad), 203 nucleotides long. The record is from the annotation of a GenBank genome assembly. NCBI's taxonomy places the organism in Eukaryota, Metazoa, Chordata, Amphibia, Anura, Pelobatidae.